CGGAGGUGCAAGCGUUAUCCGGAUUUAUUGGUUUAAAGGGUCCGUAGGCGGACUUGUAAGUCAGUGGUGAAUCUCAUAGCUUAACUAUGAAACUGCCAUUGAUACUGCAGGUCUUGAGUAAAUUUGAAGUGGCUGGAAUAAGUAGUGUAGCGGUGAAAUGCAUAGAUAUUACUUAGAACACCAAUUGCGAAGGCAGGUCACUAAGAUUUAACUGACGCUGAUGGACGAAAGCGUGGUAGCGAACAGGAUU
Molecule: ribosomal RNA, 250 nt
Filed under: uncultured bacterium
Lineage: Bacteria
Description: partial 16S ribosomal RNA
Rfam family: Bacterial small subunit ribosomal RNA
Source: RNAcentral